UUUAGGCACAACACCGGAAACAGACAAGUAAACGGAAGUGAACAAGGCUAAGAACAACUUCCACGUUAGCGGUUUUAUUUAGACGUUUUAACAUCCUGGAACUCAAAAUCGGAUUAAUUGAACUGCACAUCAUCACCCCGUGUAGUGUUUAGUUCGAGUUUGAGACAGGAUUUAUUUGAUAGCUAACUAGCUAACAAUGGCUAACUGUAUGAUUUUUCACACUCAAAUUGCCUCCAUCAUGGAGGUUCUAGCGAAUGCAGCCGUGGCAGAGAUCUGUAAACUCGUAGACGACGACUAUGCAGUGUUUCGUUUGGAAAUAACUCAAAGCCAGAAAGAAAACAGGGCAUUGCGGAGGAAACUACUGGAAUCGAAGGUGGCACGGGAGCGCGCAGAAAGGACAACGCGAGAGCGCGUCCUCGCCAGUCGUCCCAGUAGUGUCAAGAUUGUCGAACGAUACAGAGGAAUGGCAAGAGGUGAAGGACAUCUCACUGGAGGCCACAGGACCUUUGUGAAGCCAGUGGGACACAUUACUUGGAGAGAUGACCAACCAAUCACUGUUGAUGAGGGGAGUGGAACCUCAACCCAGAACGUUAUCAUGAUAGAGUCUGCAGAUGCAGAGGCUGAAGAUCCUGGUGUCAAGCUAGAGAGGUCUGAAGGAGAGGAGGACCCAUGGCACAGCAGAGACAUCCAAACUGGAACGGCUGAAGCGCCACAUGUAAACAGAAAAGACCCAACCGCCCCAGCACAGCCAAGGACCCGACGCAGCAUCACGGAGGUCAGUGGAAUGUCGAACGCCGUCCUCAAGUCAGAGACAGACACCAAGACUUUAACUGUAACACACAGUCUCUUACACACAGGAUGUGACCACAUAUCAGAUCCAGAGAGACUGGGGCUGGGGAGACUGGGCUGUCCUCCUGCUCCCGGCUCAGAGUACUUACCAGUAUUUCAACAGAGCCAGAGAACGGUUAAUUCCAGUGGGGAUGGUAACUCGUUAGACACUAGUGGUGAUGAUUCAUCUUGUUCUUACGCUACAGAGAUGGACCCUAGCAACAUAUCCUUGGGUUUAGAGACACAAACUCAUCUGUCAAGAGGGGACUGGAACCGGUACAGUAGCAGUGUAUACUCUGAAGGGUGCCUAGAUAAGAAAGGGGAGGGUCUGGUUGUAGAUGAAGUGACCAUGAAAGUGGAGGGCGACGUUCCUCCCACUCCCACAAAUGCAGAUAGUCACCUAGUAGACAGACACUCACAGGGCAGAGAUUUCUUAAAUUACAGGGGAAGCUUAGAGACAAAUCCAAAUGUCACGACCCACUCCCCUUUACACACGUUCAGGGAUCAUGACCAAGUGUCUACGUCGAUGGGGCCUUCCGAUUUACACAGCCGUGUCCUUUUCGAUCAGGUAUUGAAUUCAAACGACAGGGCUAAAGCCCAGACUCGGGGAGGGGUAACCACAUCAGGCAAUAGCAAAGAGAAACGGUUCCUCUGCAUGUUCUGUAACAAAGGCUUCAGCUGCCUCCAGAAGGUGGAGGUCCACCAGAGGAUCCACACAGGGGUGAAACCCUUCAGCUGUACCCAGUGUCACAUGCGCUUCGCCCAGGCUGGCACCCUGAAGAGGCACCAGAGGGUCCACACAGGGGUGAAACCCUUCAGCUGUACCCAGUGUAACAUGCGCUUCGCCCAGGCUGGUGACCUGAAGAGGCACCAAAGGGUCCACACAGGGGAGAAACCCUACAGCUGCCCCCAGUGUGAGAAGAGAUUUACCCGCCAGCACCAGCUGAAGAUGCACAUGAAGGUCCACACGGGAGAGAGGCCGUUCGCCUGUACGCACUGCGGGAAGAGAUUCUCAGAUAGGAGCUACCUCAGGAUACACCAGCAGAAAAAACAUUCCACUCAAUAGCUUCAGAUGUUUAGAUAUAUUAAAUAUAAAGAUUCAUUUUCAUUGUUGUCAGCAGAAAGGACCCACAGAUGCAUUUGGAAUAAUGCGAGUAGCAGAUUUCAGUGUUGAAUAUUCCUGGGUAGAAUAUUGCAUCCAGACAUGUGAUAUAUAUUUUAGGCAUAUUUGUGCCUAAAAAGUCUGUUACAUAUUGUGUUUGUACUGUGUAGGCCAGGGAUGGGCAGCAUUGAUGGGUGUGGGAGCCACAAAAAAAUCGGAACUCAGUCAGAGCCCGCCCUAGCCUUUUGGGGGCCCUAAGCUAUAUUUUGCGAGUAAAGCAUUUUAGCAAAGAGAAAAAAUUGUAGUUUUAGAGUUCAUUUCCUGCAAUUCUACACAUUUUGUCAUGGGGCAUAGAGAAAAUGUUGCAAUUUUUAAGCAAGUUUUCUGCAAUUCUACACAUUUUUGCCAUGAGGUGGAUAGAAGAUUGCAAUUUUUUAAUGUAAUUUUAUGCAAUUCUACUCAUGAUCAUGAGGGCCCCCAGGUCAGUAAUUAAAUCAUGAUUGCUACAAGUUUGGAAAUAAAAUGUAUUUUGCCAGAGGGUGGAAACAACUGCUUGCAGUUUUUUAUAUGAUAUCUAACGAUCAAUUGGUUGCCCCCUGUCAGUAAUUCGGCCAUGAUUACUACAAGUUUAGAUAGCUUGGGGGGGUUAAUCCAUAGGCAAAAGGGUUGCCCAUCCCUGGUGUAGACUAUAUGUGACGCGCUCUAUAAUAAUCAGUCGGAAGUAGCAAUUACUAAUUUGCAUAUAAAUUGUGUUUUGUCGAAAUUGAGAUUUUUUGCUAUUUGGGUGUUUCAUCUGGUUUUAACAAAACAAUGUCUUUGCUUUCAUCAUCUGUAUGUGUUAUUGCCAAAUUCAGUAUGAAUAUAGUUUUUAAUCCUUUAAACGUAGGAUGAAAUGUAGCACUUUCCAAUCCGUUUGGUGGAUGCUAGCUUGUAACACAUCAGGCUUUUGAGGCACUAGCUUAUCUGCACUAUCAAAACCCUCAUCUAUUCCGAAAUCAUGAAUGAAUUACAAACGAGCUAGCUCUCUAUAUAGUUUAAAUCAAGCUACAAUAAGCUAUUCAAUCGGAUGAUUUUCCUGUUUUCCCAAUCAAAGCUACUGUAGUGUAUCAUCCGCGGGAAAAGGCUACACUCUCUCGCUCAUAAAGACCCAUCAUACAUAGUUACACUGUCACUACUGCCUACACCGUAGCUAGUUAGCUUUGCUUUCAACUGCACUGAUGGAUUUCCGGGAGAGAGAAAUCGCAAGAUUUUUAAAUAGUAAUGUUGUGCUGAGAGCUGGUUCAGACGAUCAGUGGCAUCAACUUAUUGCCGGCUACUUUUUGACCCUGCGCCACAGAGCAAUGACAUAAGCGACUCAGACAAGCUCACUGAAGUCGAGGCCGAGCACCUUGAGGAGGCAACCGAGGAAGACCACCUGUGCACCAGUUAAUGGUGAAUCGAUCAAUGACGGCGCUUCAGUCGGUCGAGGGGAAAUAUGUCAGUGGUGCUGGGCAAGAAAUUGAAAAGGAUUGCGAGUUCAGGUGAACGUGCAAGUCCAAUAAAGGGAAGCCGUGAUAUUUGGUUUUUACCCCCGAGGAGAUGGUCAAGAGACGUGACCAGAUGAAUUAGCUAACUCACCAAUGUUGUCUUAUUUUUCAGAUGAAAAACAUCUAGUGCUCAUUGGCAAGAUCUCUGGUUCCAUGAACCUCUGCAAGGAAAUGGUCAUCUCGAACCGGAACUAACAAAAAGAAAACAUCAGAGGACAUAUUUCUUUGAGCAAAUCUGCAGAGAAACAUUCAAGUUCCGACACGCGUAAGUUUUCAUUUGAGUAAUACAACCUGAUGUCCUCUGUUCUUAUUGGGGCUGCAACAGUAUUAACAAGUUCAUGAGAUAUUUAAGAAAAGAUGAGUAGUAGGCUAAAUCAUGAAUAGAAAUAAAACAGCUGAGAAUACAUUGUGCCUUUCAGCACAUUUUAACAGGCAUGUUUAAAAAUGUCAGAAUUUCUACAAAAAGCUGACUGCAGUGAUAAAGUUCUAUAGUUCUAUGGAUCGUGAUAAGGCUCCAAGGAAAAAAGAGGUGUGGUGGUCAUCUCGCCACACUCAGUGAAUUGUCCACUAUGUCAACAACUUCACCAAUAUCCACGCGGUGCCGCUCCCAGGACAGAUCCCUGGAUUUAAGAAGUCAGACAUCCUGAUGCUACCGACAUUUCAGACCAAAGUCCUGUGUGGCGCUAGUAUAAAAACGUUCAUGCGUGAUCAUGGUGAGUGUUUUCCUAAAUCUCUAUACUUAUAUUUGUACCAAACGCUCGUCAGCUCAAGCCAGUGACAAAGACUCUAGCCAAAGCCCACACGAAUCGGAUCCAAAGAGACUGUCGGACCUUACUCUCUGGUGACGCACUGGUGUAGUCAGAUUUUCUUUAACGUUUCUCAUUUUAGUUGUUGCUUAGAGACCAGGACUUACUCUGACCAAUUUUAGCUCAUUCUCUGGCUUGUACACUACAUUACCAAAAGUAUGUGGACACCUGCUCGUUAAACAUCUCAUUCCAAAACCAUGGGCAUUAAUAUGGAGUUGGUCCCCCCUUUGCUGCUAUAA
RNA transcript from Oncorhynchus tshawytscha (Chinook salmon), 4501 nucleotides. It is a transcript of the gene named neurotrophin receptor-interacting factor homolog, with no coding region annotated. The transcript is spliced from 4 exons. The record is from RefSeq and is a predicted model, not a curated record. NCBI's taxonomy places the organism in Eukaryota, Metazoa, Chordata, Actinopteri, Salmoniformes, Salmonidae.